GGGUGUAUGACAGAGUGGUUUAUCGUAGCUGGUUGCUAACUAGCCGUACCGAAAGGUACCGUAGGUUCGAAUCCUACUACACCCGCCA
RNAcentral lists this transfer RNA (88 nucleotides) under Stenotrophomonas phage Siara. Its description in RNAcentral is "tRNA-Ser". It matches the Rfam family "tRNA". Rfam says of the family: Transfer RNA (tRNA) molecules are approximately 80 nucleotides in length. Their secondary structure includes four short double-helical elements and three loops (D, anti-codon, and T loops). The record is from RNAcentral. Lineage: Duplodnaviria; Heunggongvirae; Uroviricota; Caudoviricetes.